CUACCUUUCAUGGUGUCCCUACUACACCCUAUCCAUAGCUGUGUAAAUAUUCUCUUUAUUAGUAUUUGCUCAAAUUAGCCAAUGGAGAUGUGUCAUCUGGUCCCUACAGAGAUGCUAACUACUACAUAAGCUGAGAGGAAUGAUCUAAUAAUUGAUGAUGCUAAAGAACUAGAGGGUAAUUAGAGGAGCAAAGUCCUUGAGAAGAUGCCAUAGAAUGGGAUGCAGAACACAAAUGGAAGGAUUGGCCUUUCGUGGGAGCACUGCAAUAGGAGAAAAGGCAGAAGUUGUAGCUUCAGAUGAAGACUGGCUGAAAGAUCUGGUGGUGAGAAGAUGGGGAAGUUCAAGUCUGCAGAGGUGAGGUUGAAAACUGAGAAUGAGGCAUGUUGGGGGUAUAGGAUCUUUUAAGGGAGAUGUAAUGUGGUCUUUGUGAAGCAGAGAAGAGCCAAAGCAUGUUGGCAAGCAAACCAUAAAUGCAGGUGAAUGUUCAGUGCUCUUUGAGAUUUGUGUUCUUGAUUUUGAUGGAGACCAAUUGGUAGAAAGGAAAGUUUUUUCUCCUAGACUCAGAUUAAACAGAUAGUUGGGCUUAACCAGGGUCAGAGUUCAACUAAACUAGUCUGAUAGUAGGAAAGAGAGAUGAGGAAGUUAUGUUGUUUUCAAGGGAUUGCAAAUAAUAAUAUACCACAGAAACUAACCCGGAUAUGGUGGAAAGUGAGGACCCAGUAUUACAUAAGGAUAUCAUAUAACAGGUAUACGUGCUUGCAAUAGGAUAGAGAAAGAAAUAAUAAAAGUCUGCCCUACAACAUAAGGAUUUAAUAUAGAUUUUCUUGUGUGAGAAUAAAAAUAAUGAACAAGUUCAUUUUAUCUUCUAACAUAGGAAAGAAAGAUGUGAAAGCAGAUAAACCCAUAUGUAUGUAUUGAUCUUAUGUGUUUGAAUAGAAAUAUGCUAAGAAGCAAAUGACUGAAAUAGAAGGAAAAACUGUGUAUUUCAGCUUUUUGAUUCCAUCCAACUCCAAAGAAACAAAGACGAACCCCCAUUUGGGGAGAGGAAAUGUCCUCCUCCCCUACAACGCGCAAUGAGAUCUUCUCUACUUCUAGCAACUGAAUCCUGAAGUCACGCCUUCAUUAGUUCUCAUGACAGGCCUUUUAUCUUCUCAGAGUUCAGUGCUAAAGACCCAUGCCCAAUUCAGCUGAAGACUUGCGGUUUCACUCUGGAGAGACAUUUUGUGCUAAGGAUUACUAGACUCAGUGGUACUAGAGAAAUUGUAUUGAAAGGAGGGGGACUAAAGAAAAUGAGAUGUCAGCGACAGGCUUCGUUCACCCUAGCAGAUGUGGAGGAUUUCUCUCUAACGAUCCAAGAGAAAAGCCACACAGCUACUAGCUGUUUAGGGGACCACAACAAAACGUCCCAUCUGGAUCACCCAUCGCACAGUGAAGCCUACCAAUUGGGAAGUCCAACUCAC
Molecule: long non-coding RNA, 1460 nt
Filed under: Equus caballus (horse)
Lineage: Eukaryota; Metazoa; Chordata; Mammalia; Perissodactyla; Equidae
Description: lncRNA (ENSECAG00000028827.3)
Source: RNAcentral